RNAcentral lists this ribosomal RNA (491 nucleotides) under uncultured bacterium. RNAcentral's name for it is "partial 16S ribosomal RNA". It matches the Rfam family "Bacterial small subunit ribosomal RNA", at positions 29 to 507 of the family's 1533-position model. The record is from RNAcentral.
AGUGAACGCUGGCGGUAGGCCUAACACAUGCAAGUCGAACGGCAGCACAGUAAGAGCUUGCUCUUACGGGUGGCGAGUGGCGGACGGGUGAGGAAUACAUCGGAAUCUACUUUUUCGUGGGGGAUAACGUAGGAAACUUACGCCAAUAACCCAUAAGACCUAAGGGUGAAAGGAGGGGAUCUUCGGACCUUUCGCGAGUUCAUGAGGCGCUUUCGGAGUAGCUGGUUGGUGGGGUAAACGCCCACCAAGGCGGCGGUCCGUAGCUGGUCUGAGAGGAUGAUCCGCCACACUGGAACUGCGACACGGUCCAGACUCCUACGGGAGGCAGCAGUGGGGAAUAUUAGACAAUGGGCGCAAGCCUGAUCCAGCCGUACCGCGUGGGUGAAGAAGGCCUUCGGGUUGUAAAGCCCUUUUGUUGGGAAAGAAAAGCAGCAGGUUAAUACCCCGCUGUUCUGACGGUACCCAAAGAAUAAGCACCGGCUAACUUCGUG